Morus notabilis is the source of this 89-nucleotide non-coding RNA. The record is from Rfam. NCBI's taxonomy places the organism in Eukaryota, Viridiplantae, Streptophyta, Magnoliopsida, Rosales, Moraceae.
UCUCGGUGAUGAUCAACAACGAUGACGAGUCUGAUAUAAAUCCAUUCUCUUAAACCCUGACGACAAUUCGAGGCAUUUGUCUGAGAGGU